GACGAACGCUGGCGGCGUGCCUAACACAUGCAAGUCGAGCGGAAAGGCCCCUUCGGGGGUACUCGAGCGGCGAACGGGUGAGUAACACGUGGGCAACCUGCCCCUGACUCUGGGAUAACCCCGGGAAACCGGGGCUAAUACCGGAUACGACGCGGGAGGGCAUCCUCUCCGUGUGGAAAGGGUUUACUGGUCAGGGAUGGGCCCGCGGCCUAUCAGCUAGUUGGUGGGGUAGUGGCCUACCAAGGCGACGACGGGUAGCCGGCCUGAGAGGGCGACCGGCCACACUGGGACUGAGACACGGCCCAGACUCCUACGGGAGGCAGCAGUGGGGAAUAUUGCGCAAUGGGCGAAAGCCUGACGCAGCAACGCCGCGUGAGGGAUGACGGCCUUCGGGUUGUAAACCUCUUUCAGCCCCGACGAAGCGUGAGUGACUGUAGGGGAAGAAGAAGCACCGGCUAACUACGUGCCAGCAGCCGCCGUAACAC
RNAcentral lists this ribosomal RNA (485 nucleotides) under uncultured bacterium. RNAcentral describes it as "bacterial SSU rRNA". It matches the Rfam family "Bacterial small subunit ribosomal RNA", at positions 28 to 526 of the family's 1533-position model. The record is from RNAcentral.